UUGAAUCAAUAAUGGAAGGUGAAAGUUGCAAAGUCUACAUUUAACAUAAGACACGUCUACUAUUUUCAUUCGAAACGUCUACCAUUAAUAUAAGAGAAAUCAAAGACAAGUAGACUUUCUGGAAAAUUAAAUUGUUCUUGAGAUUGAAUCAAUUAACCAAGGUGAAAGCUGCAAAGUUUAUAUUUAACAUAAGACACGUCAACUAUUUUCAUAAGAAAUGGCUACCAUUAACAUAAGAGAAAUUAAAGAAAAGUAGAUUUUCUGGAAAUCUAAAUUGCUCUUGAGAUUGAAUCAAUAAUAGAAGGUGAAAGUUGCAAAGUCUACAUUUAACAUAAGACACAACUACUGUUUUCAUGAGAAAUGUCUACCAUUUAGAUGGGCAAAAUCACAGAAAAGUAGACAUUCUGGAAAUCAAAAUUGUUCUUGAGAUUGAAUCAAUAAACAUUCACAAAAUGAAAAUUGACCGUCUGAUGUGAUCAUUAUAGUGAAACAUAGCUAUGGUAUAAAAAUUCAACUGGAUUCAACAAUGUUCGAUGCUCGAUCAAAGUGGUCAACCCUAAUUCAUCUUUACUUAUCACACGAAAACUAUCUUACCUACCUCUUCGUGACCUAGUUUGGUGGAUUCUUCAACACAAUAAAGUGUCACAUAGAUGAGACAUAACCACCCAUGUAAAACUUUGGGGACGUUUACCACCCGAGGAUAGGGCUCUCCUUAUUGAAGCAUAAGCAUAAAUAGGGUUGACCGCUUCGAUCGGGGCUCAAACAUUGACAAAUUAAAGUGAUUUUCCUACCGUAGCCGUAUUUUACUAUACCGAUCACAUCCUAUUUCAUGAGAUUUUUGAAAAUUUUGCUUCCUCUAUAUAGUUGGUUCACAAAGUUGUACACUAGCAUAUAACCUAUCAAAU
RNAcentral lists this long non-coding RNA (905 nucleotides) under Fragaria vesca (wild strawberry). RNAcentral's name for it is "long non-coding RNA (FVES_LNC000464)". The record is from RNAcentral. Lineage: Eukaryota; Viridiplantae; Streptophyta; Magnoliopsida; Rosales; Rosaceae.